AAUCAACGCUGGCGGCGUGCCUAACACAUGCAAGUCGAACGCGAAAGUUCCGCAAGGAAUUAGUAGAGUGGCAAACGGGUGAGUAACACGUGGGUGACCUGCCUUCGAGUGGGGGAUAACGUCCCGAAAGGGACGCUAAUACCGCAUAACAUCCCGCCUUUUAAGAGGUGGAAAUCAAAGCUGGGGAUCGCAAGACCUGGCGCUUGAAGA
This 210-nucleotide ribosomal RNA is filed under the name uncultured bacterium. RNAcentral's name for it is "partial 16S ribosomal RNA". It matches the Rfam family "Bacterial small subunit ribosomal RNA", at positions 32 to 225 of the family's 1533-position model. The record is from RNAcentral.